This 149-nucleotide unclassified non-coding RNA is filed under the name uncultured Ascomycota. RNAcentral's name for it is "sequence contains ITS1". Lineage: Eukaryota; Fungi; Ascomycota. The record is from RNAcentral.
CCGAGUGAGGGCCCUCGUGCCCGACCUCCAACCCUUUGUCGAACCUCCUUGUUGCCUCGGGGGCGACCCGGCCUCCGGGACGCGGCCGCCCCCGGUGGGCCACCGAAUAACUCUUGCGUUCGUGCGUCGGAGUCAAGUAAAUGGAAUGA